CCUACGGGUGGCUGCAGUAAGGAAUAUUGCUCAAUGGGAGAAAUCCUGAAGCAGCAACGCCGCGUGGAGGAUGAAGGGUUUUUAACUUGUAAACUCCUGUAAAGAAGGAAAAAAUUCCCAUUAGAUGGGAAAUGAUGGUACUUCUGGAGUAAGCCCCGGCUAACUACGUGCCAGCAGCCGCGGUAAUACGUAGGGGGCAAGCGUUGUCCGGAUUUACUGGGUGUAAAGGGUGCUCAGGCGGAUUUGUAAGUCAGAGGUGAAAUCUCACAGCUUAACUGUGAAACUGCUUUGAUACUGCAAGCCUAGAGUAUGGAAGAGAGUGAUGGAAUAUCUGGUGUAGCAGUGAAAUGCGUAGAUAUCAGAUAGAACACCAAUGGCGAAGGCAGUCACUUGGUCCAUAACUGACGCUAAAGCACGAAAGCGUGGGUAGCAAACAGGAUUAGAUACCCCUGUAGUC
Molecule: ribosomal RNA, 457 nt
Filed under: uncultured bacterium
Lineage: Bacteria
Description: bacterial SSU rRNA
Rfam family: Bacterial small subunit ribosomal RNA
Source: RNAcentral